Molecule: ribosomal RNA, 314 nt
Filed under: uncultured bacterium
Lineage: Bacteria
Description: partial 16S ribosomal RNA
Rfam family: Bacterial small subunit ribosomal RNA
Source: RNAcentral
UUAUAAGAGACAGCAGCAGCCGCGGUAAUACGUAGGUGGCAAGCGUUGUCCGGAAUUAUUGGGCGUAAAGCGCGCGCAGGUGGUUUCUUAAGUCUGAUGUGAAAGCCCCCGGCUCAACCGGGGAGGGUCAUUGGAAACUGGGAAACUUGAGUGCAGAAGAGGAGAGUGGAAUUCCACGUGUAGCGGUGAAAUGCGUAGAGAUGUGGAGGAACACCAGUGGCGAAGGCGACUCUCUGGUCUGUAACUGACGCUGAGGAGCGAAAGCGUGGGGAGCGAACAGGAUUAGAUACCCGGGUAGUCCCUGUCUCUUAUAC